GAUGAACGCUGGCGGCGUGCCUAAUACAUGCAAGUCGAGCGAACGGACGAGAAGCUUGCUUCUCUGAUGUUAGCGGCGGACGGGUGAGUAACACGUGGAUAACCUACCUAUAAGACUGGGAUAACUUCGGGAAACCGUAGCUAAUACCGGAUAAUAUUUUGAACCGCAUGGUUCAAAAGUGAAAGACGGUCUUGCUGUCACUUAUAGAUGGAUCCGCGCUGCAUUAGCUAGUUGGUAAGGUAACGGCUUACCAAGGCAACGAUGCAUAGCCGACCUGAGAGGGUGAUCGGCCACACUGGAACUGAGACACGGUCCAGACUCCUACGGGAGGCAGCAGUAGGGAAUCUUCCGCAAUGGGCGAAAGCCUGACGGAGCAACGCCGCGUGAGUGAUGAAGGCCUUCGGAUCGUAAAACUCUGUUAUUAGGGAAGAACAUAUGUGUAAGUAACUGUGCACAUCUUGACGGUACCUAAUCAGAAAGCCACGGCUAACUACGUG
RNAcentral lists this ribosomal RNA (497 nucleotides) under uncultured bacterium. RNAcentral describes it as "partial 16S ribosomal RNA". It matches the Rfam family "Bacterial small subunit ribosomal RNA", at positions 28 to 507 of the family's 1533-position model. The record is from RNAcentral.